GGGAGAAGGGAAUUUCUGGUGGGAGAAACAGAGCCUGCAAAGGAAACCCAUCCCCCAUAUCAAUACUGCUGUUUACCAGUCCUUGACCAAGUGCCAUAGACCCAAACCUUCACAAUCAGGACACCGGAGCACCACUGACUGAUGGCCCUAAUAAGGUCCCACCGAAUGACUGCACAAGACAAGAUGGCAAUGAUCAAUCUGCCUCCUUACUGCUGUAUUCCCCUGGAUGCUGCCUGAACAGGGCCCAGCUUCAAUAUCAUUUGUUGAAUGGACAAAUAAAUGAAUGAGUGG
Long non-coding RNA from Homo sapiens (human), 291 nucleotides. RefSeq lists it as uncharacterized. The record is from RefSeq and is a predicted model, not a curated record. The transcript has 3 exons. NCBI's taxonomy places the organism in Eukaryota, Metazoa, Chordata, Mammalia, Primates, Hominidae.